GGUUAAGCGACUAAGCGUACACGGUGGAUGCCCUGGCAGUCAGAGGCGAUGAAGGGCGUGCUAAUCUGCGAUAAGCGCCGGUAAGGUGAUAUGAACCGUUAUAACCGGCGAUACCCGAAUGGGGAAACCCAGUGUGACUCGUCACACUAUCAUUAACUGAAUCCAUAGGUUAAUGAGGCGAACCGGGGGAACUGAAACAUCUAAGUACCCCGAGGAAAAGAAAUCAACCGAGAUUCCCCCAGUAGCGGCGAGCGAACGGGGAGGAGCCCAGAGCCUGAAUCAGCAUGUGUGUUAGUGGAAGCGUCUGGAAAGGCGCGCGAUACAGGGUGACAGCCCCGUACACAAAAGCGCAUGUGUUGUGAGCUCGAUGAGUAGGGCGGGACACGUGGUAUCCUGUCUGAAUAUGGGGGGACCAUCCUCCAAGGCUAAAUACUCCUGACUGACCGAUAGUGAACCAGUACCGUGAGGGAAAGGCGAAAAGAACCCCGGCGAGGGGAGUGAAAAAGAACCUGAAACCGUGUACGUACAAGCAGUGGGAGCCCCACCACUAAGCCAGUGGUGAACUCCACAUACGCAUCCUUUGCUGAGGAUACGGUUAACGGAGCGAAAGCGACGUUCAACCGCAAAAGAAGCAGAGGGGGCUUAGUGGUGGGGUGACUGCGUACCUUUUGUAUAAUGGGUCAGCGACUUAUAUUCUGUAGCAAGGUUAACCGUAUAGGGGAGCCGUAGGGAAACC
This 736-nucleotide ribosomal RNA is filed under the name Salmonella enterica. Its description in RNAcentral is "partial 23S ribosomal RNA". It matches the Rfam family "Bacterial large subunit ribosomal RNA", at positions 1 to 678 of the family's 2925-position model. The record is from RNAcentral. Lineage: Bacteria; Pseudomonadati; Pseudomonadota; Gammaproteobacteria; Enterobacterales; Enterobacteriaceae.